RNAcentral lists this long non-coding RNA (878 nucleotides) under Rattus norvegicus (Norway rat). Its description in RNAcentral is "long non-coding RNA NONRATT021384". Lineage: Eukaryota; Metazoa; Chordata; Mammalia; Rodentia; Muridae. The record is from RNAcentral.
AAGAAGUGAUGUGGGCCUGGGCCUAUCCUUAACCCUUGAAGAGGUCUGGGCCCAAAGAAGAAGAAAUAUGGGCCUGGGCCAAUCCCUGACCCUGAAGAGGCCUGGGCCCAAAAGAAGUGAUGUGGGCCUGGGCCUAUCCCUAACCCUUGAAGAGGCCUGGGCCCAAAGAAGAAGAAAUAUGGACCUGGGCCAAUCCCUGACCCUGAAGACGCCUGGGGCCAAAAGAAGUGAUAUGGACCUGGGCCUAACCUAACCUGUGAAGAGGCCUGGGCCCAAAGAAGAAGAAAUAUGGGCCUGGGCCACUCCCUGACCCUGAAGAGGCCUGGGCCCAAAAGAAGUGAUGUGGGCCUGGGCCAAUCCCUGACCCUGAAGAGGCCUGGGCCCAAAAGAAGUGAUGUGGGCCUGGGUCUGUCCCUAACCCUUGAAGAGGCCUGGGCCCAAAGAAGAAGAAAUAUGGGCCUGGGCCAAUCCCUGACCCUGAAGAGGCCUGGGCCCAAAAAAAGUGAUGUGGGCCUGGGCCAAUCCCUGACCCUGAAGAGGCCUGGGCCCAAAAAAGUGAUGUGUGCCUGGGCCCAAAAAAGUGAUGUGGGCCUGGGCCUAAAAAAGUGAUGUGGGCCUGGGCCUAUCCUUGACCCUGAAGAGGCCUGGGCCCCAAAGAAGUGAUGUGGGCCUGGGCCUAUCCCUAACCUUUGAUGAGGCCUGGGCCCAAAGAAGGAGAAAUAUGGACCUGGGCCAAUUCCUGGCACUUAAAUGGCCUGGGCCCAAAAGUAAUGAUGUGGGCCUGGGCCUAUCUCUAACCCUUGAAGGGGCCCAGGCCCAAAGAAGAUGAAAUAUGGGCCUGGGCCUAUGCCUAAUCCCUGAAGAGUCCUGAGCACAAA